AUACAAACAACGCUGCUACAGAGCUGGGACAAAAAUCGAUGAUUAUACGAGUCUAUCGAUGCCUCCAGCAGCAAGACCGCAGCGAUAACAAUUAGAAUACCAUAUGGCCCAAAAAUUCACUAGUAAUACGAUCUCUGACGACCUCUCCGUUGGGAAAUCGCUGAAUUCCACCAUCAGCAGCUACUGAGCAGCUGAAUCGGAGACGCAGGACGCGUUUAUAUAGGGAGGAGCAAACGUGGAAGCCCGUUACGGGACAGCUGGAGGAGCCAUUAUUAUCCAUUACCAGUAUGCUGGGCGACUUCCAACAGCAUCAGCGGAACAACCAGGAUCUCAAUCUGGCUCCCACUCCCUUAAGGCCUAUGUUGGCAUAUUGCGAAUCGGAGAUGGACAUCAGAUGGCGCGGGGAAAAUGGCGAAGCAUCUUCGACACGAGAGGAAAUCCUUAAAAUAAUAACAACAAAUAAAAACAUUCUUUGAACA
This is a long non-coding RNA of Drosophila subpulchrella, 479 nucleotides long. RefSeq lists it as uncharacterized. NCBI's taxonomy places the organism in Eukaryota, Metazoa, Arthropoda, Insecta, Diptera, Drosophilidae. The record is from RefSeq and is a predicted model, not a curated record. The transcript is spliced from 2 exons.